UACGUAGGGUGCGAGCGUUGUCCGGAAUUAUUGGGCGUAAAGGGCUCGUAGGCGGUUUGUCACGUCGGGAGUGAAAACUCGGGGCUUAACCCCGAGCCUGCUUUCGAUACGGGCAGACUGGAGGUAUGCAGGGGAGAACGGAAUUCCUGGUGUAGCGGUGAAAUGCGCAGAUAUCAGGAGGAACACCGGUGGCGAAGGCGGUUCUCUGGGCAUGUCCUGACGCUGAGGAGCGAAAGUGUGGGGAGCGAACAGG
This 253-nucleotide ribosomal RNA is filed under the name uncultured bacterium. Its description in RNAcentral is "partial 16S ribosomal RNA". It matches the Rfam family "Bacterial small subunit ribosomal RNA", at positions 524 to 776 of the family's 1533-position model. The record is from RNAcentral.